Molecule: RNA transcript, 3057 nt
Organism: Pan troglodytes (chimpanzee)
Lineage: Eukaryota; Metazoa; Chordata; Mammalia; Primates; Hominidae
Gene: GPR160
Gene name: G protein-coupled receptor 160
Exons: 5
Source: RefSeq, marked provisional
CCGGUGGCCCCCGCUCGCCCACCUGCUGGAGAGAUGGGGAGCUCCUAGGACAGGGGCUGGGUCCUCAAGAUGUGGCACGAGGAAGGGGGUCUCACUGAGCCCCCAGCGGCUCCCGCACUGCGCACCCCUGGCUGCGUCCCUCUGCCAGCCUCAACUCAGCCCUCUCCUAGCCGGCGAGGGGUGACGGUCUCUGUGAUAUCUUUCCGUCCCGCCGGCAGGCGGCGCCCUCCGGCCCUUGUUUCGUUGGGCCCGGACGGGACGUGCGUGCUCAAAGGUUGCCCGGCUCUGACGCCCGCAUUUCCUGGUCUGGAGCCGGCUGAGCCACAGCAGGGUCGCCGCGGGGUCCCGGGGCCGUGCUCCCCUGCCCCUCCCGGGAGCGCGCGGGGCGGGGCGGGACCAGGCGGGCGAGCUGGGCCCUCGCCCCUCCCUCGGGCGGUCACCUGGGCACGGGCGCUGCAGGUGUCGGGGCCUCAACCUUGCGGAGCCGACAGCCAUCGAUCCUCGGGUGGCCUCGAGGUGGUGGCAGGGCCGCCCCCUGCAGUCCGGAGGCGAACGCACGGACCGGGCCUCCGGAGGCAGGUUCGGCUGGAAGGAACCGCUCUCGCUUCGUCCUACACUUGCGCAAAUGUCUCCGGCUUGCUCCACUUAUCGGGCUCACCAAAUACAGCUGCAGUAUGAAUUCCAUCUUCUACACAACAGUAAACCAGAAUGUUCAUGUUCACAGUGUUCAUCUCCCAUCCUGUUGUCUAACGCACAUGGUUUUUUUAAACUUUUCUAAGAUUGCAUGAGAUUCUGCAAUACAACUGAUUAUAAAAACACUUGAAGUUUUUACCUUUUUUUUUACUUUCCAACUCUCGUGAAUGUACAGAGGACUUUCCAGAAGCUACAUGAUGUGUGAUAUUUCAGCUGAUGAAAUGUAGAUGUGUAGGUAAUCGGUCAGAGUGGUGGGAGAAACUGUUGGGAAAGGAGCAGGCCUUCUGAAAGGUCGGAAGGCUUCAGGGGAGAAUAAGCUGAACGCAGCUGUUCUCUGACCUUGAGGCAGAGGGCAAGGAGUAGGUACAAGGACGUGUAGGAGAAUUUAUCUUAAAUAGGCUUGUUCACUUGUGUUGUCCAGAAACCGACUUUUGAUCAUCAGCGCGCAUGACUGCUCCCUGAAAGGAAGAACAAUAAUGUUAAUUACCCGCAGACUGUGUUUGCUCCAGGCUUUCGGCAUUAUGUCUGUACUGAAUAAAAGCAAGCAGCUCCAGCUGUUCGAGGCUGCUCUCUUCUUCAGCCAUUAGUGCCGGGCAGCCCACUAGCUGCUGUUACACUGCAUAUCUGUGUCUGAGUACUCCUUUCUUCAGUUGCUUGGCCAGGGUCUGUGGGACAGACCCAGCAGCUGGUGCCCUGUGUGAGGAACACUGCAAUGGAUCGCGACGGAACCCUCGAAAACAAAGAGCUUACUCACAUAGCAUAUUGGUAUAUCAAAAUGAAAUGCAAGGAACCAAAAAUAACAUAAUUGAAGGCAGUAAAAGUGAAAUUAAAUAGGAAGAUCAUCAGUCAAGGAAGACCCACUGGAGAGGACAGAAAAUAAAGGAAGCAGUGUUUUAUCAUGUGUAUUUCAGCAGGUCUUCUUGAAAUUUAACUAAAAAUAUGACUGCUCUCUCUUCAGAGAACUGCUCUUUUCAGUACCAGUUACGUCAAACAAACCAGCCCCUAGAUGUUAACUGUCUGCUAUUCUUGAUCAUACUUGGGAAAAUAUUAUUAAAUAUCCUUACACUAGGAAUGAGAAGAAAAAACACCUGUCAAAAUUUUAUGGAAUAUUUUUGCAUUUCACUAGCAUUCGUUGAUCUUUUACUUUUGGUAAACAUUUCCAUCAUAUUGUAUUUCAGGGAUUUUGUACUUUUAAGCAUUAGGUUCACUAAAUACCACAUCUGCCUAUUUACUCAAAUUAUUUCCUUUACUUAUGGCUUUUUGCAUUAUCCAGUUUUCCUGACAGCUUGUAUAGAUUAUUGCCUGAAUUUCUCUAAAACAACAAAGCUUUCAUUUAAGUGUCAAAAAUUAUUUUAUUUCUUUACAGUAAUUUUAAUUUGGAUUUCAGUCCUUGCUUAUGUUUUGGGAGACCCAGCCAUCUACCAAAGCCUGAAGGCACAGAAUGCUUAUUCUCGUCACUGUCCUUUCUAUGUCAGCAUUCAGAGUUACUGGCUGUCAUUUUUCAUGGUGAUGAUUUUAUUUGUAGCUUUCAUAACCUGUUGGGAAGAAGUUACUACUUUGGUACAGGCUAUCAGGAUAACUUCCUAUAUGAAUGAAACUAUCUUAUAUUUUCCUUUUUCAUCCCACUCCAGUUAUACUGUGAGAUCUAAAAAAAUAUUCUUAUCCAAGCUCAUUGUCUGUUUUCUCAGUACCUGGUUACCAUUUGUACUACUUCAGGUAAUCAUUGUUUUACUUAAAGUUCAGAUUCCAGCAUAUAUUGAGAUGAAUAUUCCCUGGUUAUACUUUGUCAAUAGUUUUCUCAUUGCUACAGUGUAUUGGUUUAAUUGUCACAAGCUUAAUUUAAAAGACAUUGGAUUACCUUUAGAUCCAUUUGUCAACUGGAAGUGCUGCUUCAUUCCACUUACAAUUCCUAAUCUUGAGCAAAUUGAAAAGCCUAUAUCAAUAAUGAUUUAAUAUUAUUAAUUAAAAGUUACAGCUGUCAUAAGAUCAUAAUUUUAUGAACAGAAAGAACUCAGGACAUAUUGAAAAAUAAACUGAACUAAAACUUUUGCCCCCUGACUGAUAGCAUUUCAGAAUGUGUCUUUUGAAGGGCUAUGAUACCAUUUAUUAAAUAGUGUUUUAUUUUAAAAACAAAAUAAUUCCAAGAAGUUUUUAUAGUUAUUCAGGGACACUAUAUUACAAAUAUUACUUUGUUAUUAACACAAAAAGUGAUAUGAGUUAACAUUUGGCUAUACUGAUGUUUGUGUUACUCAAAAAAACUACUGGAUGCAAACUGUUAUGUAAAUCUGAGAUUUCACUGACAACUUUAAGAUAUCAACCUAAACAUUUUUAUUAAAUGUUCAAAUGAAAGCAAGAAAGUAAAAA